RNAcentral lists this ribosomal RNA (767 nucleotides) under uncultured Granulicatella sp. Its description in RNAcentral is "bacterial SSU rRNA". It matches the Rfam family "Bacterial small subunit ribosomal RNA", at positions 28 to 776 of the family's 1533-position model. Lineage: Bacteria; Bacillati; Bacillota; Bacilli; Lactobacillales; Carnobacteriaceae. The record is from RNAcentral.
GACGAACGCUGGCGGCGUGCCUAAUACAUGCAAGUCGAACGAGAGCGACCGGUGCUUGCACUGGUCAAUCUAGUGGCGAACGGGUGAGUAGCACGUGGGUAACCUGCCCAUCAGAGGGGGAUAACAUCCGGAAACGGAUGCUAAAACCGCAUAGGUCUUCGAGCCGCAUGGCUUGAAGAGGAAAAGAGGCGCAAGCUUCUGCUGAUGGAUGGACCCGCGGUGCAUUAGCUAGUUGGUGAGGUAACGGCUCACCAAGGCCGUGAUGCAUAGCCGACCUGAGAGGGUGAACGGCCACAUUGGGACUGAGACACGGCCCAAACUCCUACGGGAGGCAGCAGUAGGGAAUCUUCCGCAAUGGACGCAAGUCUGACGGAGCAACGCCGCGUGAGUGAAGAAGGUUUUCGGAUCGUAAAACUCUGUUGUUAGAGAAGAACAAGUGCUAGAGUAACUGUUAGCGCCUUGACGGUAUCUAACCAGAAGGCCACGGCUAACUACGUGCCAGCAGCCGCGGUAAUACGUAGGUGGCAAGCGUUGUCCGGAUUUAUUGGGCGUAAAGCGAGCGCAGGCGGUUCCUUAAGUCUGAUGUGAAAGCCCCCGGCUCAACCGGGGAGGGUCAUUGGAAACUGGGGAACUUGAGUGCAGAAGAGGAGAGUGGAAUUCCAUGUGUAGCGGUGAAAUGCGUAGAUAUAUGGAGGAACACCAGUGGCGAAGGCGCCUCUCUGGUCUGUAACUGACGCUGAGGCUCGAAAGCGUGGGUAGCAAACAGG